Molecule: ribosomal RNA, 465 nt
Filed under: Vreelandella stevensii
Lineage: Bacteria; Pseudomonadati; Pseudomonadota; Gammaproteobacteria; Oceanospirillales; Halomonadaceae
Description: partial 16S ribosomal RNA
Rfam family: Bacterial small subunit ribosomal RNA
Source: RNAcentral
CCUACGGGAGUCUGCAGUGGGGAAUAUUGGACAAUGGGCGAAAGCCUGAUCCAGCCAUGCCGCGUGUGUGAAGAAGGCCUUCGGGUUGUAAAGCACUUUCAGUGGGGAAGAAAGCCUUGGGGCUAAUACCCUCGAGGAAGGACAUCACCCACAGAAGAAGCACCGGCUAACUCCGUGCCAGCAGCCGCGGUAAUACGGAGGGUGCGAGCGUUAAUCGGAAUUACUGGGCGUAAAGCGCGCGUAGGCGGUCUGAUAAGCCGGUUGUGAAAGCCCCGGGCUCAACCUGGGAACGGCAUCCGGAACUGUCAGGCUAGAGUGCAGCAGAGGAAGGUAGAAUUCCCGGUGUAGCGGUGAAAUGCGUAGAGAUCGGGAGGAAUACCAGUGGCGAAGGCGGCCUUCUGGACUGACACUGACGCUGAGGUGCGAAAGCGUGGGUAGCAAACAGGAUUAGAUACCCUGGUAGUC